Talpa occidentalis (Iberian mole) is the source of this 437-nucleotide long non-coding RNA. RefSeq lists it as uncharacterized. Lineage: Eukaryota; Metazoa; Chordata; Mammalia; Eulipotyphla; Talpidae. The transcript has 3 exons. The record is from RefSeq and is a predicted model, not a curated record.
GCUACAACCCCCCACACACCUACUGAUUCAUAUCUUAGUGUUUAUUGUCUUCCUCUUCCUUUUCCUUUAUUCACACUUUUAAAAUCAGCGUGUGGCUACAUAUGUGACUUCUCAGGUGCCUGAAUGAAAGGGAUCCACAAUUAGAAGCAAAUUUGCUACAAUAUAUAGCAAAUCAAGCUGCAAACCCACAAUACUUAAAACGAGAGAAUAGCCAUGCAAUACUACAUUCAGGCCAGCAGGUGUCUCUCUGCCACCCACGACAUCAACUGAGAAAAUAACAAGGGAUAGAAGACCUGCCACUGUCAUUCUGUGAUCCCUGGACCAAGGAGGGGUAUAUAUAGUCAGACAAGACCAUCAGAAUAGUUUCAUGUUUUACAUUUCUAAGAAAUUAAAUAUGGGGAUUAAACAAAUAUGGCAAUUAAUGAAAAACAAGUGUG